GCAUGAAGCUGGAAUCGCUAGUAAUCGCGGAUCAGAAUGCCGCGGUGAAUACGUUCCCGGGUCUUGUACACACCGCCCGUCACACCAUGGGAGGUCGGUAACGCCCGAAGUCAGUGACCCAACCGAAAGGAGGGAGCUGCCGAAGGCGGGACUGGUAACUGGGGUGAAGUCGUAACAAGGUAUC
Molecule: ribosomal RNA, 184 nt
Filed under: uncultured bacterium
Lineage: Bacteria
Description: partial 16S ribosomal RNA
Rfam family: Bacterial small subunit ribosomal RNA
Source: RNAcentral